UUCGAGGCUACAGUGAGAUGUG
RNAcentral lists this microRNA (22 nucleotides) under Pongo pygmaeus (Bornean orangutan). RNAcentral describes it as "ppy-miR-1304". Lineage: Eukaryota; Metazoa; Chordata; Mammalia; Primates; Hominidae. The record is from miRBase by way of RNAcentral.